AACGUAGGAGGCGAGCGUUAUCCGGAUUUACUGGGUGUAAAGCGCGUGUAGGCGGUCGUGCAAGUGGUGCGUGAAAGCGCCCGGCUCAACCGGGCGAGGACGUGGACGAACUGCGCGACUAGAGGCAGGUAGAGGCGUGUGGAAUUCCGGGUGUAGUGGUGAAAUGCGUAGAGAUCCGGAGGAACACCAGUGGCGAAGGCGACACGCUGGGCCUGGCCUGACGCUGAGAGGCGAAAGCAUGGGGAGCGAA
Molecule: ribosomal RNA, 250 nt
Filed under: uncultured bacterium
Lineage: Bacteria
Description: partial 16S ribosomal RNA
Rfam family: Bacterial small subunit ribosomal RNA
Source: RNAcentral